Molecule: ribosomal RNA, 460 nt
Filed under: uncultured bacterium
Lineage: Bacteria
Description: partial 16S ribosomal RNA
Rfam family: Bacterial small subunit ribosomal RNA
Source: RNAcentral
CCUACGGGAUGCAGCAGUGAGGAAUAUUGGUCAAUGGACGAGAGUCUGAACCAGCCCAGUAGCGUGAAGGAUGACUGCCCUAUGGGUUGUAAACUUCUUUUAUAUGGGACUAAAAUGUUCCACGUGUGGGAUUUUGUAUGUACCAUAUGAAUAAGGAUCGGCUAACUCCGUGCCAGCAGCCGCGGUAAUACGGAGGAUCCGAGCGUUAUCCGGAUUUAUUGGGUUUAACGGGAGCGUAGGUGGAUUGUUAAGUCAGUUGUGAAAGUUUGCGGCGCAACCGUAAAAUUGCAGUUGAAACUGGCAGUCUUGAGUACAGUAGAGGUGGGCGGAAUUCGGGGUGUAGCGGUGAAAUGCGUAGAGAUCACGAAGAACACCGAUUGCGAAGGCAGUUCACUGGACUGCAACUGACACUGAGGCGCGAAAGUGUGGGUAUCAAACAGGAUUAGAUACCCCUGUAGUC